RNAcentral lists this transfer RNA (104 nucleotides) under Pseudozyma flocculosa. Its description in RNAcentral is "Anthracocystis flocculosa transfer RNA-Pseudo(AGG)". Lineage: Eukaryota; Fungi; Basidiomycota; Ustilaginomycetes; Ustilaginales; Ustilaginaceae. The record is from RNAcentral.
GGUCCAAUCGUAUAGUGGCUUAUUAUGCUGUCUUAGGGCUUCAGCACGCCUAGAAAGCGUGUAUUCUAUGACAGAGGUCCCCGGUUCGAUUCCGGGUUGGACCC